UAAUUGAAGAGUUUGAUCAUGGCUCAGAUUGAACGCUGGCGGCAGGCCUAACACAUGCAAGUCGAGCGGUAACAGGAGAAAGCUUGCUUUCUUGCUGACGAGCGGCGGACGG
Molecule: ribosomal RNA, 112 nt
Filed under: Proteus mirabilis
Lineage: Bacteria; Pseudomonadati; Pseudomonadota; Gammaproteobacteria; Enterobacterales; Morganellaceae
Description: partial 16S ribosomal RNA
Rfam family: Bacterial small subunit ribosomal RNA
Source: RNAcentral